RNAcentral lists this long non-coding RNA (1367 nucleotides) under Pandoravirus dulcis. Its description in RNAcentral is "putative ncRNA". The record is from RNAcentral.
CGGCGUGCACGCCCACCAACGACGCGGGCGGAUUCUGCUGUCCUCCGAGAUCCGAGGCGGCGCGCUCAAGGACCUCGCCGGCCAACCGCGGCGACACACCCACAAGCGACACCAUGGCCUUGGACACGAGUGCCGCGCCCGGCGGCUCGGGUCCGCCAUCAAACAUGGAUGGCGGUCUCUGGUCGUUGUCGCCUCUAUGGCCCGCGCCCCAGUCGCCAUCGCCGCCAAUCGUGGGAUCAAAAACGCUCGGGUUACGCAUGGCGAGUGCGCGGCCAAAUGACGCAAACCCACCGUCGACGCCGACGAGAGCAUGUUGCGUGGCGGCGCGUGCAUCGGCCGCGGUGGCAUAUGGGCCGCCGUUGCCUCGGGUCCUCGGGAAAUAGGCCUCGGCAUCGUUGGGCCACACGACUACAUUGACUACCGUUGGGGCGUCUGCCAACAAUGACAACUCGUGAUCGUUGUCAUAAUGGUCGUCGUCGUGUCGCUCGACACGGUACACCGAGACCCAGGCGGUGGCGUCGGGUCCUGUUUCGACAGAGGGCCACAGCACGACGAGGUAGAGCGCGCUCGGAUUGCGCCACGGUGCACAGUCGGCGGCCGUGUCCCAUCCGGCAAAGGGGUCGGGAAAUCGGCCGUGCACGGCGGCAGCGAUCGCCGCGGCCAACUCAUUGGCCGCGUAUGUGGGGCGGUCCGCGAGGGCGUCACGGAGGUGUUGCGCAAAAGAGGCGAGCACACCGAGACCCGGUCCCUCGACGCGCCCCGUUGCGUACCAUAGAACCUCGAUGAGGCGCUCCACGAGGCUGCCGGUUGCGGUGACCUGCCCGUUGGCCAUGAGCCGCUCGACCUCGGCGCGCGCAGUGGGGUGGGCAUCGAGAGCGGCGAUCCACACGGGAUCGGCACCGCGCAGUGGCGACACUGUGUCUGCGUCGGCCAUUUCGGUGUCGUUGCCCUGUGGGCGGACCGCUCACGGCGUCUGGCGUGGCCGGGGCCUUGUUUGGGAAGGGGCAUGCGCGCGUCCCGUCGCUCAUCCAGAAAAAAAAAGUUGGCCACGCGCCGUCGAGACCAAUGCCCAACAACGGAAAAAAAAGAGUGCCCUUUGCAUCAGGGUCCAUGUGGGUCUCCAAAGCAUUCCGGCGCCGGUGGGCCACAAGAAAAAAAAGAGUUGCGGCCCCAUUGUCGGUCCUUUAAUUUUUUUAACCUUGUCCUUUUUUCUGUUUUCUUUUCUAUGAUGGCAAAGAAAAAAAGCGCGGAAAACAUGCUCCCAGACGGCGAGGGCCAAAAAAAAAAAGGUCAAGGCCUUUGUUGACGAUGCCUUUUUUUGCGUGUGCACUCGCGCACCGCGCCGCCAACAGCCAAAGAAAAGAGCG